RNAcentral lists this ribosomal RNA (465 nucleotides) under Vreelandella stevensii. RNAcentral describes it as "partial 16S ribosomal RNA". It matches the Rfam family "Bacterial small subunit ribosomal RNA", at positions 338 to 795 of the family's 1533-position model. Lineage: Bacteria; Pseudomonadati; Pseudomonadota; Gammaproteobacteria; Oceanospirillales; Halomonadaceae. The record is from RNAcentral.
CCUACGGGCGGCAGCAGUGGGGAAUAUUGGACAAUGGGGGGAACCCUGAUCCAGCCAUGCCGCGUGUGUGAAGAAGGCCCUCGGGUCGUAAAGCACUUUUAGUGAGGAAGAACGCCUGGUGGUUAAUACCCAUCAGGAAAGACAUCACUCACAGAAGAAGCACCGGCUAACUCCGUGCCAGCAGCCGCGGUAAUACGGAGGGUGCGAGCGUUAAUCGGAAUUACUGGGCGUAAAGCGCGCGUAGGUGGCUUGAUAAGCCGGUUGUGAAAGCCCCGGGCUCAACCUGGGAACGGCAUCCGGAACUGGGAAGCUAGAGUGCAGAAGAGGAAGGUAGAACUCCAGGUGUAGCGGUGGAAUGCGUAGAGAUCGGGAAGAACACCAGUGGCGAAGGCGGCCUUCUGGACUGAUACUGACACUGAGGUGCGAAAGCGUGGGUAGCAAACAGGAUUAGAUACCCUUGUAGUC